RNAcentral lists this unclassified non-coding RNA (20 nucleotides) under Mus musculus (house mouse). RNAcentral describes it as "oocyte_clustered_small_RNA2998". The record is from RNAcentral. Lineage: Eukaryota; Metazoa; Chordata; Mammalia; Rodentia; Muridae.
GUGAUUCAUUAUGGAGGUGG